CAAUGGCACUGAGACACGGGCCAUACACCUACGGGUGGCGCAGUCGGGAAUUUUGGACAAUGGGCGAAAGCCUGAUCCAGCGACGCCGCGUGGAGGAUUGAAGGCCUUCGGGUCGUAAACUCCUUUUGCAGCAGAAGAUUAUGACGGUAUGCUGCGAAUAAGCACUUGCUAACUACGUGCCAGAAGCCUCGGUAAUGCGUAGAGUGCAAGCGUUAUCCGGAUUUACUGGGCGUAAAGAGUUGCGUAGGCGGCUCGACGCAUUCUGUUUGAAAUGCCUCGACUCAAUCGAGGAUUUGGACAGAAGAUGGUCGAGCUAGAGGGAAAGAGAGGGUGCUGGAACCAAUUGUGGAGCAGUGAAAUGCGUUGAUAUGAUUGGGAACACCAAAGGCGUAGGCAGGCACCUAACUUUCUCCUGACGCUGAGGCACGAAAGCUAGGGGAGCGAAGCAGAUUAGAGACCUGCGUAGUCCUAGCCGUAAACAAUCCCUGCUAGAUAGUCUGAUGUAUUUUGGACUGUCGUAGCUAACGCGUUAAGCAGGGCGCCUGGGGAGUACGAGCGCAAGCUUAAAACUCAAAGGAAUUGACGGGGACCCGCACAAGCAGUGGAGCGUGUGGUUUAAUUCGAUACAAAGCGAAAAACCUCACCAGGGCUUGACAUGCACCUGCAAGUCCGGUGAAAGCCGGAUGAUCUUUCGAGGGUGGUGCACAGAUGCUGCAUGGCUGUCGUCAGCUCGUGGCGUGAGCUGUACCCUUAAGUGGGACAACGAGCGCAACCCUCACUGUAUGUUGAAUAAUUCAUACGGAACAGCCCCGAUAUUGUCGGGGAGGAAGGCGAGGAUGACGUCAAGUCAGCACGGUUCUUACGCCCUGGGCUACACACACCCUACAA
RNAcentral lists this ribosomal RNA (888 nucleotides) under uncultured bacterium. Its description in RNAcentral is "bacterial SSU rRNA". It matches the Rfam family "Bacterial small subunit ribosomal RNA", at positions 311 to 1230 of the family's 1533-position model. The record is from RNAcentral.